CAGCCGCCGCGGUAAUACGAGGGGGGCAAGCGUUGUUAGGAAUUAUCGGGCGUAAAGGGCGCGUAGGCGGUUUGACAAGUUUGGUGUGAAAUCUAUGGGCUCAACCCAUAGCCUGCAUCGAAAACUGUCGGGCUUGAGUAUGGGAGAGGUGCGUGGAAUUUCCGGUGUAGCGGUGAAAUGCGUAGAUAUCGGAAGGAACACCUGUGGCGAAAGCGGCUCACUGGACCAUUACUGACGCUGAGGCGCGAAAGCUAGGGGAGCAAACAGGAUUAGAGACCCCAGUAGUCCAUGUCUCUUAUAC
RNAcentral lists this ribosomal RNA (301 nucleotides) under uncultured bacterium. Its description in RNAcentral is "partial 16S ribosomal RNA". It matches the Rfam family "Bacterial small subunit ribosomal RNA", at positions 509 to 807 of the family's 1533-position model. The record is from RNAcentral.